This 3254-nucleotide long non-coding RNA is filed under the name Musa acuminata (dwarf banana). Its description in RNAcentral is "long non-coding RNA (MACU_LNC003141)". The record is from RNAcentral. Lineage: Eukaryota; Viridiplantae; Streptophyta; Magnoliopsida; Zingiberales; Musaceae.
AGUUCAUUUGUUUAUUGAGUCGGUUUGGUUCAGUUAGAGUCAAGUAGAGGUUUAUCUAAUAUUUAUUUAUUAUUAGAGUUCAAGUCCUGAUGGACUCUGGGUGGAACUCUAUAAAUAGGGAUGUAACUGCUUCUUUUCAGUAAUCUAUGAAAAAUACUAUUCUGUCUUUUGACAAACCCUAGGAGGCCGAUCCCCUCGAAGUGAUCAAGGAGGGCUGAUCCCCUCGAAGCGAUCAUUAUCAGGAGGCCGAUCCCCUCGAAGCGAUCAUUAUCAUCCCCAUUUCUCCCUUUUCUUCCACGAUAAGACUUUAGGGUCUUAUCAUUUGGUAUCAGAGCGACGAUAAGACCUUUAGGAUCUUAUCAUUUGGUAUCGGAGCCUACGAUAAGACUUUAGGGUCUUAUCAUUUGGUAUCAGAGCGACGAUAAGACUUUAGGGUCUUAUCAUUUGGUAUCAGAGCAGCGAUCCUUGACGUUCUCGCUGCAACGAAACUAUCAAAAAAAAAAAAAACGAAAGAAAAAAGAAAAGAAAAACACGAGAGGAAGAAGAAGCCGCAGCCACCCCUGCGUCCCCUGCUUCCGGCCAGCCCACCCGCCGCUGCUGCUCUCCGGCCAGCGCCCACCAUCGCCCCGCUUCCCGACCGGCGACCACCGCCGUCGCUGUUCCCCGGCCAGGAGACGACGUUACCAGCGUCCAUCCCAGCCCUACUGCCGCCGCCCGCCUCCCAUUGCGUCGCAACGCAACCGCUCGACCUCUCCCCCUCGGCGAUCGUUGGUGACGCUGCUCCCAGCCGCGCCACCACCGCUGCCUCUCCACCGCCGCCCGCCUCCCCUUGGGUCGCAGCCGCAGCCGCAGCCGCCGAUUGUCGCCCUCCUCGCGGCGACCGAAACAGGGCAACUCACGUAUUGCCCUUGUUCCCAGCCGCGUCAUCACCACUUUUCCCAGCCGCAUCGCCGCCGCUCGAUCAUCCGGCCAGCGACCUCUUCUCCUUGCGUCCCCAUCUCGCUUGAGCGAGAAGGACCGCCAGCACCGCAGCCGUAGCCGCCGGCUGCAGCAGCCCCUCCUUGCAGCGGUUGCAGAAACAGAGCUUCCUCUGUUGCCGCAGCCCCGCCUCGAGCGUCGUCGCCUUCCAGCCGACCCACCACCACUGCCAGCCACCGUGCGGCGACCGCUGCUCGCCUCCCAACCGCCGCUCCCCCUGGCUCGGGCGAGAACGACCGCCGCCGCUCCCCCUUGCUCUGCCCCCUUGUGACCGAGAAACAGGGCAAUCCUCUUGCUGCUGCGAACACCGGUUGCCACCACCGUCGCCACUGCUGCCCAGCCAACGACGACGCCGCUCGCUACCCAGCCAGCGACGACGCCGCUCGCCGCCCAGCCUGCCACCGUCGAUUCCUAUUUUCCCCUGCAGCCUCAAUCUCGGCAACACCACCGCAGCCUCCCUCCAACAGCACACGCAGCAAGCUCUGUUUCAGUCGCUUCAACGACACCGUUGUGUCCUCAACCGCACGCGAUCCAUCGACGUCACCAACGCCUUCGUAGUGCGGUAGAGACAGAGCAACGCUGCCUUCCAUCCGCACCGUCGCAACCACUGCAGCGAUAGGCCCUUGGCGACGCUGCCCCCAGCUGUAGCCACAUCAACGCAGUCACCUUCCAACCUCGGCGCUCUCACCCCACGCCUCGAUAGAAACAGGGCAGCUACUCUUCCUCCAACGCAGCGACCGCAACACUGCCCUUGGCGUCCACCUCCUCGGUAACUUCGCAUCUACAGUGUUGAUGCCCUUGUCCGACACCAAAAACAGGAGUUGAGAUUACAGAUUUGCAGUCUUAUGCAAUGGCCACCAAUAACUCAGUAAAAGCACAAAUGGAAGCAUUGGAAAUUAGAAUUGAGAACCGGUUACAAGAAGUACUUAAUGAUUUCAAAAAGGACUUACUGGGGAGCCUUAGUAAAUUUCAAUAAGGUGGGAGCUCAAGUUCUACGUUGCACAGAUAUGAAAAUACAGGAAAAGGGCCCCAAGAUUGUGACACAAUCUACUCAGACAUGAAGGUGGAUGGACAGCUCUCAAAAAUUUGUCAGACUUCUACAGUGUUGGAAUAUCAGAGUAGGUUUGAAAGAUUAUCAAAUCAAGCUAGAGAUUGGUCGGAACGACAACUUCUGGAUACAUUUAUUGAAGGUCUUAUUCCAGAGAUUCGGUGUGAAGUUAAGGCUCGUCAACCCCGCACUAUGAGAGCUGCGAUCUCAUUCGCACAUCUACAUGAGAAAAAAAUCAACAGGGAAAAUCAUGGAAACAGAAGUGACAACAACCGGAUGAUUAGUAAGCCACUGGCCCCAUCUAUUCCCAACCAAAGUCUUGACACCCGAAGACUAACCCAAGAAGAACUCAAUGAAAGAUUAGCAAAGAGUUUGUAUUAUGAUGAAAAAUGGAGUACGGAGCAUCAAUGUAAACAAGGACAACUUCUGAUGAUUGAACCAAUUGGAGAGGAACCGAAAGCUAAGAAUGUGGACUCCGAUCAUGAAGGUAUAAAUUCUAAUGAAGAGGUUGGACCUACCAUACAUACAAUGCAUGCAUUAGCCGACUACUCUAACCCGCAAACUAUGGAAGUUGGCGAAACUCUGGAACAUCAGCCUAUUAUAGUUUUGAUUGAUACUGGUAGCACUAACAAUUCUAUGGACAGUGAGACUGUUGACCGAUUGGCCCAUCACAUUGAAGACUAUGAGAGAUUCGAAGUAAAGAUCAUUGAUGGAUGGAUUUUCACUUGUGAUAGCAAAUGUUCAAAGAUAAAAUUGAUUAUACAAAACCAGAAGUUUCAUGCAACGAUUACUACACUGAAAAAUUGACCUGUUGCUUACACUCUCAAAACGUGGAGACCAUACUUACUUGAUCAACGGGUUGUGAUGCGUUGCAGAUAGGCUAUGGCUAAAGUGCUGAAAGAGAAGCUCCCCGAGAUUGAUACUGCUCAGCCUUGAGGACAAGGCUAAUUUAAAGAGGGAGGAACUGUUAGGACCCUUUUUCUGAGCUUUUGAAUAAUAUUUAUUGAGUCUGUUUAGUCCAUUUGUUUAUUGAGUCGGUUUGGUUCAGUUAGAGUCAAGUAGAGGUUUAUCUAAUAUUUAUUUAUUAUUAGAGUUCAAGUCCUGAUGGACUCUGGGUGGAACUCUAUAAAUAGGGAUGUAACUGUUUCUUUUCAGUAAUCUAUGAAAAAUACUAUUCUGUCUUUUGACAAACCCUAGGAGGCCGAUCCCCUCAAAGUGAUCAAGGAGG